This is a non-coding RNA of Aegilops tauschii subsp. strangulata, 3537 nucleotides long. The record is from RefSeq and is a predicted model, not a curated record. Lineage: Eukaryota; Viridiplantae; Streptophyta; Magnoliopsida; Poales; Poaceae.
GCAAUCCACCGGACCAUCACCGACCACACGUCUCCCCCACGCUCUCACACUCUCCGGUGUCCGCUCCGGCGGCCUCUCUCUCUCUCUCUCUCUCUCUCUCUCUCUCUCUCUCUCUCUCUCUCUCUCGUGCGGCUUGCCGUUGAGAUGCCCGCCGCCGUCACCAGAUCCGUCCUCCCCAUCGUGCAGUUGAGAUGUGUCGCCGCCGCCGCCAACGACGACAUCUUCCUCGGCCGCCGGAGCUCAGAUCCGCCCUGCCCCUCCGGCUGCCGUCGAUACAGACCACGACCGACGCCUCCAGUCAUCUCCUAUGUACUCCUACAUCGACGGGGUCGUGCUUCCUUCUCGGUCGCCAUGGGUGUGGAGUGCCUGACCACAGCCUGUGCGUAAAAUCCCCAAAUUUCACACGGUGACAAACUCCGUCUCCCCAUUGACGCCCGUCUCCAGCGAGGGUUCCUCCUCAACCGCUCUGUCAUGGCCCCCUUCAUCUCCGCGGAAUCCUACAUGUUGCAGCAUGAGCGUAUUUUUCUCUCAUGAAGAUAUUGCCUUGUCUGCCUCAUGCAUCCAAACAUUGCAAAAUCAAACAAACUAAAUUGCAAAAGUAAAUCAUAAUUUUGGAACAUGAUUCUACUGGAAGCAUGUUCAGGGAAGUUCAGGCUGAGCCACCAACAUUCUUACAGCAUCCGGACUUGACAUUUCAGUCAGGUUCCAGAAAAGGUAACAAAAACAAAACAACCCAUUGGCAAGAUUUGCCAUUUCUAGUCACCUACGCUAUAUGUCUCGGGCCCACGCAUUGACCAUUCCAUACCUAUUUCCAGUAAGUAUUUCUUUUCUCGUCUCAUCAUAGAACAUGGUGGUUACCCCUGACAGGGCCUCAGCAACUGUGUGUGCUACUGGAGGCUCCCCAGUUUGAGCAGUAAGCCCAGUUUGGUUGUCACUGAUUUCAGCUAGCCGUUUCCCGUUGCAAAUAUUAGUUACAUUGAUCAGUGCACCUUCAAAGCCUGCAAUAACAAUGUCAUUAUCAUAAGUUCAGAACUACCCGAUAUUGGGUUAACCAGGGUUAGUUUAGUUAAAAGAAUAUUACCUCGAGCAGGUGCAAAGUAAGACAUCAGGAUCUUGGCAUUGUCAUUGAUCGCAAAUUGCUUCAGCUGUAAGGGCGGAGGGUAUUGCACCUCUGUUAAAAGCUCAGCGUUGCAAUUGAAAAUCGAAACUUCAGCUGCCGAUCCAAUAAUUAUUAGAUUAUCGCCUAGAAAUUUGACACCACAGGUUGAAGCUUUUAAUGGUUGCUUGUCCUUAUUAUCCUUGCAUAACUGAACCAGGAAAAGCUGCAGUUUAGUAUCGUACUUCAAUGAUAUAUUGAUAAUAAUAGAACCUAGUUAAUGUAUUGGGGCGUAUGAUACCUACUUUUUUUAUCACGAGUGGCUUCUUGGCCUGGCUGAGAACUAGUGUAUCUCGCAUUAGGUUAAUGUAAUCGACAUCGAUUGUGUCCUUGAUCUGAAUCUUGUAACUUUUAGUUGCAGAUCCUUCCUGUAUUGAGAAUGCUUGUAUGGGAAUGCGACCGAACUGAUCCCUUCUGUACUCAAGGAUCAGCAUAUUGUGACUGCAAGGUAGUCAGUAUGAAACUAUGAUAUUUAUUUUUGCAAAGAGACACUUUAGCUAGGAUGCAAUUAAGUAACUAACAGAAAUAAAAUAGAUUACCUUCUCUUGAAGGAUUGCAUAUUUCCCACCUGUACUGAUCUGACCAUGCGGAAAUCCUUCAAGUCAAAUAUAGAGAUAGACUUCAACCUGACAUUUUUUUAUUUGUUUAGCUUAUAGAAAUAUAUAAUUGCGUAUAGAUAUUUUUUGUACCAUAUUUAUAUACAGGUACCUAUUGUUGUUCUGUGAUGAAAUCACUGCUGCCUUCUCAAUAUCUUGGAACAUCUCCACAUCGUCAGCAUCUUUAAUCUUUACUUCGUGGAAUACCCUUCGACGCCGGUAACUUGCUCUAGAGGUUGUAAUAUGGUGGCUCACAUUCUAGCAACAUAUGGGAUAAAUCUAAAAUCUAGCGAUGGCGUCCACAAAACCCUCUGUCACAGAUCUGAUGCUGCUGGUUUGAAAGGUUGAAAGGAAAUUAUCAUCUACUCUAGCGAUGGCAUCCUAUGGUGCUAAACUGAGGCUGGUGGACUCAAUGCUGAUCUCGUUUGCAGUUUAUGCCAUGUGCUCUAUUAGAAUCCCUCCCAAGAUCUUGGCAUACCUCUCGACAAACUACGCCACCUAUGCCUCUGGAGAAGAAAAACUGAUCAAGGAGAAACUUCAAACUCGCUGGCUGCAUGGACGAUGGUGUGUAAACCAAAACAGAAAGGGGGGCUGGGGGUCCCCGACACCAAGAUCUUAAACACUGCACUUCUCUUGAAGUUCCUAGACAAAUUCUACAAUCACCAUGAUGUGCCAUGGGUCGAGUUGAUUUGGUCCACGUACUCCACUAGUUCUGUAACGCACGCGGCGGGCCCAUGUGGAUCAUUUUGGUGGAGAGAGUUAAUACCCUUAUGCCGAUUUAACGCGGGAUCACCUCUGUUUCUACUCUCUUCUGGAAGAAUCAGUGGUGCGGGCAGAUACUCUCGGAUGCCUACCCGAGAGCUUUCUCUUAUGCUGUUUAUGAAGAUGCCACUGUCGAGCAAUUUCUCACGAUGCACUUGCUUGGUGAAGGCUUACAUCUACCAAUGUCAGUUCAGGUGCGCCAGGAGGUGGCCCAACUACACUUUGAGACUGCCAAAACUAGCAUCAAUACUAUGGCUACUGAUGACUGGGGGCCUAGGUACACGUCUGCUUGAUACUACACAUUUCUUCAGACAAUUCAGGAACCCUUCAAACGGAUUUGGAGGUCCAGGUGCGUUAUGAAGCUGAAAGUGUUGGCUUGGUUGCUACUGUCAGAUGGCCUAAACACCAAAGAUAUGUUAGGUUGCAGGCAUUACGUGGUGGGACCGGGCUCGCAGCGAUCUGACUGCUGCGCCCUUUGCCUUACCCAAUCCAAUGAAACUGUAGAGAACUUGAUCUUCUCGUGCACCUUUGCUAGGGAGUGAUGGAGCAAACUUGGAAUAACGUGGGGGGCUGGAAACGACAGAUUUGAAUGGUUGACACAUGCCAAGAGGGGCCAGGCUCAUGUUCAUGGAAGUCUUUGUGGGGGUGCCUGGCGCAGGAGGUUUAAGCAGGACUUUGGUCUGCUCAAGUGCCUUCUUUUUUUGCCUGCUGUCAGAGUUCUUCCUCUUCUUUUAUUUAUUGCUUUGGGCAGCCCCCAUGGCGGUGCCCCCCGUGUGUAUUUUGUAAAUCAUGUAACUCCUACACAUUUACUGUGCUUGCUUAAUACAAUGAGACUAGGAAACUCUCCUACAGUCAUUUAAAGUUCAAAAAAGAAAAAUCUGAAAUCUAGCGUUGGUGAACUGCAACAAAACUAUUUAUUUGACUGCAGUGUAUGUUCCUUUACAGGAAAAGAUUGCUGUGAAGCUACCAAUCAAUCAGUGGCAUGAUUUUAUAUCUACUGUACUUCCUAGAUAAGCAAGCACU